This 305-nucleotide ribosomal RNA is filed under the name uncultured bacterium. RNAcentral's name for it is "bacterial SSU rRNA". It matches the Rfam family "Bacterial small subunit ribosomal RNA", at positions 337 to 656 of the family's 1533-position model. The record is from RNAcentral.
ACCUACGGGAGGCAGCAGUGGGGGAUAUUGGACAAUGGGGGGAACCCUGAUCCAGCGACGCCGCGUGAGUGAAGAAGUAUUUCGGUAUGUAAAGCUCUGUCAGCAGGGAGGAAAGCAAUGACGGUACCUGACCAAGAAGCCCCGGCUAACUACGUGCCAGCAGCCGCGGUAAUACGUAGGGGGCAAGCGUUAUCCGGAAUUACUGGGUGUAAAGGGAGCGUAGACGGCAGCGCAAGUCUGGAGUGAAAUGCCGGGGCCCAACCCCGGAACUGCUUUGGAAACUGUGCAGCUCGAGUGCAGGAGAG